RNAcentral lists this ribosomal RNA (532 nucleotides) under uncultured bacterium. RNAcentral describes it as "bacterial SSU rRNA". It matches the Rfam family "Bacterial small subunit ribosomal RNA", at positions 958 to 1501 of the family's 1533-position model. The record is from RNAcentral.
UACGCGAGGAACCUUACCAAGGCUUAAAUGGGAAUUGACAGACGCAGAAAUGUGUUUUUCUUCGGACAAUUUUCAAGGUGCUGCAUGGUUGUCGUCAGCUCGUGCCGUGAGGUGUUAGGUUAAGUUCUGCAACGAGCGCAACCCCUGUCACUAGUUGCCAUCAUUAAGUUGGGGACUCUAGUGAGACUGCCUACGCAAGUAGGGAGGAAGGUGGGGAUGACGUCAAAUCAUCACGGCCCUUACGCCUUGGGCCACACACGUAAUACAAUGGCCGGUACAGAGGGCAGCUACACAGCGAUGUGAUGCGAAUCUCGAAAGCCGGUCUCAGUUCGGAUUGGAGUCUGCAACUCGACUCUAUGAAGCUGGAAUCGCUAGUAAUCGCGCAUCAGCCAUGGCGCGGUGAAUACGUUCCCGGGCCUUGUACACACCGCCCGUCAAGCCAUGGAAGUCUGGGGUACCUGAAGUCGGUGACCGUAACAGGAGCUGCCUAGGGUAAAACAGGUAACUAGGGCUAAGUCGUAACAAGGUAGCC